CCCGUCACACCAUGGGAGUCGAUUGCUCCAGAAGUGGCUGCGCCAACCUCGCAAGAGGAGGCAGGUCCCCAAGGAAGUGCUCGGUAACUGGGGUG
RNAcentral lists this ribosomal RNA (95 nucleotides) under uncultured bacterium. RNAcentral describes it as "partial 16S ribosomal RNA". The record is from RNAcentral.